Drosophila melanogaster (fruit fly) is the source of this 113-nucleotide small nucleolar RNA. NCBI's taxonomy places the organism in Eukaryota, Metazoa, Arthropoda, Insecta, Diptera, Drosophilidae. The record is from Ensembl.
CUCAAAUGAUGAAACAGAUGACGAGACUGAAGGAACAAAUUCUCGACUUGGCGCUGUAUUUUUCAGUGCCUCGUUAUAUAUUUGUUCAUUUAAGAUGAUUCGGCGAUCUGAUG